AAUACGGAGGGUGCAAGGGUUGUUCGGAAUUACUGGGCGUAAAUCGCGCGUNGUAGGUGGUUUGAUCGUGAUGUGAAAGCCCUCGGCACAAAUGCAUACACGAGCAUAUGAUACUGGCAGACUUGAGCAUUGGAGGGGGUGGUGGAAUUCCCGGUGUUGAGCUGAAAUUCGUAGACCCNGGGAGGAAAACCNGUGGCGAAGGCGACACCUGGCCAAAUACUAAGAUUAGCUGAGGUGCGAAAGCGUGGGGAGCAAACUGGAUUAGAUACCCUGNUAGUCCACGCCGUNAACGAUGUCUGCUAGGUGUUGGGAUGGUUAAUCGUCUCCUUGCCGCAGCUGAAACCCACUAAGAAGACCGCCUGGGGAGUACCGUCGCAAGAUUAAAACUCACUGGUANUCANGGGGGCCCGCACAG
This 415-nucleotide ribosomal RNA is filed under the name uncultured bacterium. RNAcentral's name for it is "bacterial SSU rRNA". It matches the Rfam family "Bacterial small subunit ribosomal RNA", at positions 522 to 928 of the family's 1533-position model. The record is from RNAcentral.